GCCACGGGCGGCUGCAUCUGGCCUACACAGACAGUGCAGCCACCACAGUAAAGUUCUUGCAAAGACCAUCUUGCUAAUUCAUACAGAGUGCUGCAGCAAUCGCAUUGUCAGACAUUCUACAAAAACUGGCCCAAAGACGGACAGAAGGCAGCACAGAUGGACACGCAGAAGCGGUUGGGCUGCCUCAUAAACUGUAACUGAGCAUUAACCUACAUACAGAAAUGAGCCAAGCCGAGCUGUUCAUGGGCCUUGCACACAGUUUCAUAAGCGGGCUUUGAGAACUUUUGACAAUUAUGUUUCUCAAUAUAUCUGCCAAAGUUGUGUUCAAAGAAGCAUGUAGUAGAACAUUUCAUUGUUCAUUUGGCAUGCUGCAGCAGGUAUGACUCGCACAUCUGCAAGAUAACGCAGCACAGUGCAUACACACAAACUACCCCCACAUAC
Rhipicephalus microplus (southern cattle tick) is the source of this 441-nucleotide long non-coding RNA. Lineage: Eukaryota; Metazoa; Arthropoda; Arachnida; Ixodida; Ixodidae. The record is from RefSeq and is a predicted model, not a curated record.